AAAAUCAUAAAAAAAAUUCAUAUUGGAGUAAAAAAAGUUAACAAUACAUAAAGAAACAUCUCUAAAUUCAUAUUAUCUAAAAAUACAAUCAACCAUACACUAAGAGUCUAAGACUUAGUUAUUUCUAUUGGAGGCCGCCCACGGUUACCCGCGAUUGGAAAUGGCAUAACCAGAACAGGAGUAGGCAGAUAAGGAGGCAUUGGAGAGAAGUAGGCAUGAUCGCCAACCAAGGCACUGAAAUCGAGAUAAUCAAUCGAAAGAGGGUUUAGUUAGGAGUCCGGGUUCCAUAGGUAAGUUGAAGGAAGGGAUCUAUCGCGGAUAAACAUCACUCGCGACUAAACAUCACUGGAACGAAGCGGAGUCACUUGACUUAGAAGAUGGGAUUGAGCUCAACUUCUUAUUUAUAAUACGAGAGGAGAGUCACAAGUCGAUAGGGAAAAAUAUUCAAG
Molecule: long non-coding RNA, 449 nt
Filed under: Trifolium pratense (red clover)
Lineage: Eukaryota; Viridiplantae; Streptophyta; Magnoliopsida; Fabales; Fabaceae
Description: long non-coding RNA (TPRA_LNC000266)
Source: RNAcentral